Molecule: ribosomal RNA, 253 nt
Filed under: uncultured bacterium
Lineage: Bacteria
Description: partial 16S ribosomal RNA
Rfam family: Bacterial small subunit ribosomal RNA
Source: RNAcentral
UACGGAGGGUGCAAGCGUUAUCCGGAUUCACUGGGUUUAAAGGGUGCGUAGGUGGGUAGGUAAGUCAGUGGUGAAAUCCCCGAGCUUAACUUGGGAACUGCCGUUGAUACUAUCUAUCUUGAAUAUCGAGUAGGUAAGCGGAAUAUGUCAUGUAGCGGUGAAAUGCUUAGAUAUGACAUAGAACACCAAUUGCGAAGGCAGCUUACUUCAAGAUUAUUGACACUGAGGCACGAAAGCGUGGGGAGCAAACAGG